Long non-coding RNA from Herpailurus yagouaroundi (jaguarundi), 1102 nucleotides. RefSeq lists it as uncharacterized. NCBI's taxonomy places the organism in Eukaryota, Metazoa, Chordata, Mammalia, Carnivora, Felidae. The record is from RefSeq and is a predicted model, not a curated record. The transcript is spliced from 4 exons.
CCCGGGCCCGCGGGCCUGCGGCGCCCCCGCCUCUGACUCCGCGCUCCCAGGGCCGCCCCCACGCCGGGAGGGGGCGCGAGGGGGCGCCUGUGGCUCGGUUCGGACACCUUCUCCCGCCUCCUGCCGCGCACCCCGGCCUCGGGCUCCGCGCAGCGUGACAGCUCCUCGGGUUUGGAGAGAAGGGUGACGGAAGGGUCAGAACCCGGGCGAGAACUCCCCACUGCACACACUCACCUGAGGGCGGGGGGAAAUAGAUGAGAAAACUGAGGCACAAAUCGGGGAAGAAACUAGUUCAGCAUAUACAGCUAGCAAGUCAUUCCAAGAGCGGACAGUUAAGAAGAUGCUGAACCAGGAGCUUACAAUCAGCAUUUGACAAAUCUUCACUGAGCCUCUACUGUGUGCCAGGUCCUGGCACAGAAGGUUGCUGAUUCCAGGACAAAUCAGACCUUAUUCCUGACCUCCAUCUGCUUAGUCUCAAGAAGAGGGAAGGAAAAUAAAGAGACAAAUAUAAUACAGUGUGAAAAGUACAACAGUGGUCCAAUUUCAGUUCAUGAACUCAGAGCCAGAAAAGGGAAGUAGCCUUGAGACAAUAUCCUAAGAUAAGACUUCCGGGUAACAGAAAUUAGCAAGAAUGAAAAACAACCCAAGGAGCUUCCCCCACGUCCGCCAUCAGAACAGCUAAGCUCAAGACAAGUGACAACAUCAAGUGUUGGCCAGGAUGUGGAGCCCCUGGAACUCUCAUACACACCUGGUGGAGAUGCAAAAUGGUACAGGUACUUUGGAAAACUGCUUGGCAACUUUAAUAAACAAAGAUCGGCUUGAGGUCCAGAAAUUCCACUCAUAGGUAUGUCUCCGAGAGAAAUGAAAACACGUCCACAAAAACUGUACGUAAAUCUUAACAGCUUUAUUCAUAAUAGUCCAAGCCGGAGACAACCUAACUAUCUACUCAAAUAGGAGUUUGAAUAAACAGUGUGGUAAAUCCAUAGUAUGGGAUACCACACAGUAAUCAAAGUGGAUGAAUGAUUGCUGCCCACAACAACACAGAAGAAAAAAAUCAUUAUGUUGAAUAAGAGAAACCAAAUGCAAAAAAAAAAAAAAAAAA